This 497-nucleotide ribosomal RNA is filed under the name uncultured bacterium. Its description in RNAcentral is "partial 16S ribosomal RNA". It matches the Rfam family "Bacterial small subunit ribosomal RNA", at positions 28 to 507 of the family's 1533-position model. The record is from RNAcentral.
GAUGAACGCUGGCGGCGUGCCUAAUACAUGCGAGUCGAGCGAACAGAUGAGGAGCUUGCUCCUCUGACGUUAGCGGCGGACGGGUGAGUAACACGUGGAUAACCUACCUAUAAGACUGGGAUAACUUCGGGAAACCGGAGCUAAUACCGGAUAAUAUAUUGAACCGCAUGGUUCAAUAGUGAAAGACGGUUUUGCUGUCACUUAUAGAUGGAUCCGCGCCGCAUUAGCUAGUUGGUAAGGUAACGGCUUACCAAGGCAACGAUGCGUAGCCGACCUGAGAGGGUGAUCGGCCACACUGGAACUGAGACACGGUCCAGACUCCUACGGGAGGCAGCAGUAGGGAAUCUUCCGCAAUGGGCGAAAGCCUGACGGAGCAACGCCGCGUGAGUGAUGAAGGUCUGCGGAUCGUAAAACUCUGUUAUUAGGGAAGAACAAAUGUGUAAGUAACUAUGCACGUCUUGACGGUACCUAAUCAGAAAGCCACGGCUAACUACGUG